GCCAGGAAGGCACCCUUCCUCUUCAGACAAGAGGCAGCUUAAAGGUUUCCUGGAGACCUGAAGAAAGUAAGAGGCAAAUUAAAACAAGGGGAAGUGUGAGCAUCAGGAGUUCAAGAUCAUUCUAAGCUACAUGCAGAACUUCAGGACAGCCAGGACUAAACAAGAUUCCUUCUCUAAAGAUAAGCGAUGGGGGGCUGAACCUCAGUGGAAGAGUGCUUGCAUAACCCUUGUUGCUUCUACUUUGAACAGUUUGGCUCUGAAAAUUUUCUGUUUAGAUGUAUUAUUGAUUAAAAACUAAAACCAA
RNAcentral lists this long non-coding RNA (304 nucleotides) under Rattus norvegicus (Norway rat). RNAcentral's name for it is "long non-coding RNA NONRATT028607". Lineage: Eukaryota; Metazoa; Chordata; Mammalia; Rodentia; Muridae. The record is from RNAcentral.